This is a long non-coding RNA of Micropterus salmoides (largemouth bass), 1120 nucleotides long. RefSeq lists it as uncharacterized. NCBI's taxonomy places the organism in Eukaryota, Metazoa, Chordata, Actinopteri, Centrarchiformes, Centrarchidae. The record is from RefSeq and is a predicted model, not a curated record. The transcript is spliced from 2 exons.
GAGAAAAAACCAGGACACUCACCGUCAGCCGGGCUGCCACCACAACAGAAGAAGUCGUUGAGCAGGAAGGUUUUGUUCACCAAGGAUCGAGCGUUGAUCAGAGCCAUUUUAGGCGGAUGAAUCACAUCGGGAAAAACUCCGGCUUUCUUCAAAGAACGUAGAUUUCCAGGAUUCACGCCGUUUUGCCGAUGACAUAGGCCAACCAGAGAAACAGGUCCUCUCCCCACAGUGCCACCCAGCGUCUGACUGGCACAUGCAGUCUAGCCUGCUACGUUGCUGUAAACCUGCGCUCUGAUUGGCUAAGACACUUCCGUGUUGUUAACCCUUUGUGACCUGGGUUACAGAAGACAUUCAGUGCAAUCCACAUGCAGUGAUGAGUUAUUGUCAAGAGUAGCUUUUAUGCAUUAAACUCAGUGACUGUAGUGAAAACAUUGGAUUGGUUUGUUAGAAAUUGUAACUUAGUAAACUGAGGAGAUGUAGGCACUCUGACAAACAGGUAAUCAUACUGUAGUAUUGUUUAGUAAUUCAGAAGUGCUCUUCACUGGACAUUCUGUAUUCAUAUAAUGGUAUAUGACAUUUAAAUAAUAACUAUAUAAAUAAAACAAUAUUAAUACUGGUCUGCACUGUUUGCACAUCGUUGCACAUGUGUACUUUAUGUACUCUUGUGUAGGUCUGUGUAGUCUUAGUCGGUUCUCAUGUGGCUCUGUGUUGUGGUGUUCUAUGUAGCACCAUGGUCCUGGAAGAACACUCUUUCAUUUCUGUGUGUACUACCUGUGUAUGGAUGAAAUGACAAAAACAGUGCAUAUCUUUGAGAGGAAUAACCAAAUGCAUUCUUUUGCUAAAUGUAUUUUUGUAGUUUUGUAUUCUGAGAAGAUAAGGUGUCUAGUUGGAGUGAGUCAAAGGCAUCAUCAGCUUGUUGUACAUGUCAGUGAAACAGUGUUUGUGUUAUCAGUAUGCACAUCCCCUGCCAUUAGGUGUAGUUUUUUCAAAUGUAUCACACUGUGUUUCAAGGUCUCAUUCCAUAAUUUAUGACCUCCCCCCACCAUGAGCACUGAUUCAACAGGUGUCUCAGUAUGUUGCAUAUACUAUGGCCUACUGCGAAUAAACACAGGGAAAUGAA